GUGUCAGCAGCCGCGGUAAUACGUAGGGUGCGAGCGUUAAUCGGAAUUACUGGGCGUAAAGCGUGCGUAGGUGGUUUGUUAAGUCUGUUGUGAAGGCCCCGGGCUCAACCUGGGAAUGGCAAUGGAUACUGGUACGCUAGAGUGCAGUAGAGGGUAGUGGAAUUUCCGGUGUAGCGGUGAAAUGCGUAGAUAUGUGGAGGAACACCGAUGGCGAAGGCAGCCCCCUGGGCCGAUACUGACGCUCAGGCACGAAAGCGUGGGGAGCGAACAGGAUUAGAUACCCGCGUAGUCC
This 292-nucleotide ribosomal RNA is filed under the name uncultured bacterium. Its description in RNAcentral is "partial 16S ribosomal RNA". It matches the Rfam family "Bacterial small subunit ribosomal RNA", at positions 505 to 796 of the family's 1533-position model. The record is from RNAcentral.